This 24-nucleotide ribosomal RNA is filed under the name uncultured Glomus. Its description in RNAcentral is "partial 28S ribosomal RNA". The record is from RNAcentral. Lineage: Eukaryota; Fungi; Glomeromycota; Glomeromycetes; Glomerales; Glomeraceae.
ACUUUGACCUCAAAUCAGGUAAGA